This 460-nucleotide ribosomal RNA is filed under the name uncultured bacterium. RNAcentral describes it as "partial 16S ribosomal RNA". It matches the Rfam family "Bacterial small subunit ribosomal RNA", at positions 376 to 795 of the family's 1533-position model. The record is from RNAcentral.
CCUACUUUGUUCCUCCUUUCUUCCUCUUUUUCCCUUUCCUCCCUUCUGCCCCCGCCCUGCCGCGUGCCGGAUGACGGCUCUAUGAGUUGUAAACUGCUUUUAUACGAGGGUAAACCCCGAUACGUGUAUCGGGUUGAAAGUAUCGUACGAAUAAGGAUCGGCUAACUCCGUGCCAGCAGCCGCGGUAAUACGGAGGAUCCGAGCGUUAUCCGGAUUUAUUGGGUUUAAAGGGUGCGUAGGCGGUUUGAUAAGUUAGAGGUGAAAUGUCGGGGCUCAACCCCGAAACUGCCUCUAAUACUGUUGGACUAGAGAAUAGUUGCGGUAGGCGGAAUGUAUGGUGUAGCGGUGAAAUGCUUAGAGAACAUACAGAACACCGAUUGCGAAGGCAGCUUACCAAACUAUAUCUGACGUUGAGGCACGAAAGCGUGGGUAGCAAACAGGAUUAGAUACCCUUGUAGUC